GGGGAAUAUUGCACAAUGGGGGAAACCCUGAUGCAGCGACGUCGCGUGAAGGAAGAAGGUUUUCGGAUCGUAAACUUCUAUCAGCAGGGAAGAAUGCUCUUCUUAGGAAGAGCUUGACAGUACCUGACUAAGAAGCCCCGGCUAACUACGUGCCAGCAGCCGCGGUAAUACGUAGGGGGCAAGCGUUAUCCGGAAUCACUGGGUGUAAAGGGUGCGUAGGCGGUAGGGCAAGUCAGAUGUGAAAGCCCGGAGCUUAACUCCGGGAUUGCAUUUGAAACUGUUCUACUAGAGUGCAGGAGAGGAAAGCGGAAUUCCUAGUGUAGCGGUGAAAUGCGUAGAUAUUAGGAAGAACACCAGUGGCGAAGGCGGCUUUCUGGACUGUAACUGACGCUGAGGCACGAAAGCGUGGGGAGCGAAC
RNAcentral lists this ribosomal RNA (418 nucleotides) under uncultured bacterium. RNAcentral describes it as "bacterial SSU rRNA". It matches the Rfam family "Bacterial small subunit ribosomal RNA", at positions 356 to 773 of the family's 1533-position model. The record is from RNAcentral.